ACUCCUACGGGAGGCAGCAGUGGGGAAUAUUGGACAAUGGGGGCAACCCUGAUCCAGCCAUGCCGCGUGAGUGAAGAAGGCCUUAGGGUUGUAAAGCUCUUUCAGUGGUGAAGAUGAUGACGGUAGCCACAGAAGAAGCCCCGGCUAACUCCGUGCCAGCAGCCGCGGUAAUACGGAGGGGGCAAGCGUUGUUCGGAAUUACUGGGCGUAAAGGGCGCGUAGGCGGAUAUUCAAGUCAGAGGUGAAAGCCCCGGGCUCAACCUGGGAACUGCCUUUGAAACUGGAUGUCUGGAGUUCGGGAGAGGUGAGCGGAAUCCCAGUGUAGAGGUGAAAUUCGUAGAUAUUGGG
Molecule: ribosomal RNA, 348 nt
Filed under: uncultured bacterium
Lineage: Bacteria
Description: bacterial SSU rRNA
Rfam family: Bacterial small subunit ribosomal RNA
Source: RNAcentral